This 432-nucleotide ribosomal RNA is filed under the name uncultured bacterium. RNAcentral describes it as "partial 16S ribosomal RNA". It matches the Rfam family "Bacterial small subunit ribosomal RNA", at positions 29 to 507 of the family's 1533-position model. The record is from RNAcentral.
AACGAACGCUGGCGGCAUGCCUAACACAUGCAAGUCGAACGAGACCUUCGGGUCUAGUGGCGCACGGGUGCGUAACGCGUGGGAACCUGCCCUUAGGUUCGGAAUAACUCCCCGAAAGGGGUGCUAAUACCGGAUAAUGUCUUCGGACCAAAGAUUUAUCGCCUUUGGAUGGGCCCGCGUUGGAUUAGCUAGUUGGUAGGGUAAAAGCCUACCAAGGCGACGAUCCAUAGCUGGUCUGAGAGGAUGAUCAGCCACACUGGGACUGAGACACGGCCCAGACUCCUACGGGAGGCAGCAGUGGGAAUAUUGGACAAUGGGCGAAAGCCUGAUCCAGCAAUGCCGCGUGAGUGAUGAAGGUCUUAGGGUUGUAAAGCUCUUUUACCCGGGAUGAUAAUGACAGUACCGGGAGAAUAAGCUCCGGCUAACUCCGUG